AUUCCCCUAGUACUGCGAGUGAAGCGGGAAAAGCUCAAAUUUAAAAUCUGGCGGUCAUUGGCUGUCCGAGUUGUAAUCUAGAGAAGUGUUACCCGUGCUGGACCAUGUACAAGUCUCCUGGAAUGGAGCAUCACAGAGGGUGAGAAUCCCGUCUUUGACAUGGACUACCAGUGCUUUUGUGGUAUGCUCUCAAAGAGUCGAGUUGUUUGGGAAUGCAGCUCAAAAUGGGUGGUAAAUGCCAUCUAAAGCUAAAUAUUGGCGAGAGACCGAUAGCGAACAAGUACCGUGAGGGAAAGAUGAAAAGAACUUUGGAAAGAGAGUUAAACAGUACGUGAAAUUGCUGAAAGGGAAACGCUUGAAGUCAGUCGCAUUGACUUGUAAUCAACUCUGCUUUUGCUGGGUGUACUUUCUUGUCAAUGGGUCAGCAUCAAUUUUGACCGUUGGAAAAAGUUUUUGGGAAUGUGGCAUCUUCGGAUGUGUUAUAGCCCAAUGAUGUAUACAGCGGUUGGGAUUGAGGAACUCAGCACGCCACACAGGCCGGGUUUCGACCACGUUCGUGCUUAGGAUGCUGGCAUAAUGGCUUUAAUCGACCCGUCUUGAAACACGGACCAAGGAGUCUAACAUACCUGCGAGUGUUUGGGUGGAAAACCCAUGCGCGUAAUGAAAGUGAAAGGUUGAGAACCCUUUGGGGUGCAUCGACGCCCACACCAGACCUUUUGUGACGGAUCUGCGGUAGAGCAUGUAUG
RNAcentral lists this ribosomal RNA (746 nucleotides) under Pseudosperma luteobrunneum. RNAcentral describes it as "LSU rRNA". It matches the Rfam family "Eukaryotic large subunit ribosomal RNA", at positions 74 to 808 of the family's 3401-position model. The record is from RNAcentral. Lineage: Eukaryota; Fungi; Basidiomycota; Agaricomycetes; Agaricales; Inocybaceae.